This 457-nucleotide ribosomal RNA is filed under the name Neisseria elongata. RNAcentral describes it as "bacterial SSU rRNA". It matches the Rfam family "Bacterial small subunit ribosomal RNA", at positions 30 to 487 of the family's 1533-position model. Lineage: Bacteria; Pseudomonadati; Pseudomonadota; Betaproteobacteria; Neisseriales; Neisseriaceae. The record is from RNAcentral.
AUUGAACGCUGGCGGCAUGCUUUACACAUGCAAGUCGGACGGCAGCGGGGUAGUGCUUGCACUACUGCCGGCGAGUGGCGAACGGGUGAGUAAUAUAUUGGAACGUACCGAGUAAUGGGGGAUAACCAAUCGAAAGAUUGGCUAAUACCGCAUACGCUCUGAGGAGGAAAGCAGGGGACCUUCGGGCCUUGCGUUAUUCGAGCGGCCAAUAUCUGAUUAGCUAGUUGGUGGGGUAAAGGCCUACCAAGGCGACGAUCAGUAGCGGGUCUGAGAGGAUGAUCCGCCACACUGGGACUGAGACACGGCCCAGACUCCUACGGGAGGCAGCAGUGGGGAAUUUUGGACAAUGGGCGCAAGCCUGAUCCAGCCAUGCCGCGUGUCUGAAGAAGGCCUUCGGGUUGUAAAGGACUUUUGUCAGGGAAGAAAAGGGCGGGGUUAAUACCUCUGUCUGAUGACG